Molecule: ribosomal RNA, 145 nt
Filed under: Triticum aestivum (bread wheat)
Lineage: Eukaryota; Viridiplantae; Streptophyta; Magnoliopsida; Poales; Poaceae
Also listed under: 2 other names
Description: rRNA 5_8S_rRNA
Rfam family: 5.8S ribosomal RNA
About the family: 5.8S ribosomal RNA (5.8S rRNA) is a component of the large subunit of the eukaryotic ribosome.
Source: Rfam by way of RNAcentral
AACCCUAUCUCGGCUCUCGCAUCGAUGAAGAACGUAGGGAAAUGCAAUACCUGGUGUGAAUUGCAGAAUCCCGCGAACCAUCGAUUCUCUGAACGCAAGUUGCGCCCGAGGCCACUCGGCCGAGGGCACGCCUUCUCCAAUCCUC